RNAcentral lists this ribosomal RNA (444 nucleotides) under uncultured bacterium. Its description in RNAcentral is "bacterial SSU rRNA". It matches the Rfam family "Bacterial small subunit ribosomal RNA", at positions 331 to 792 of the family's 1533-position model. The record is from RNAcentral.
CCAGACUCCUACGGGAGGCAGCAGUGGGGAAUAUUGCGCAAUGGGGGAAACCCUGACGCAGCAACGCCGCGUGCGGGAUGAAGGCUUUCGGGUUGUAAACCGCUUUCAGCAGGGAAGAUAAUGACGGUACCUGACUAAGAAGCCCCGGCUAACUACGUGCCAGCAGCCGCGGUAAUACGUAGGGGGCAAGCGUUAUCCGGAUUUACUGGGUGUAAAGGGAGCGUAGACAGCAGAGCAAGUCUGAAGUGAAAGCCCGCGGCCCAACUGCGGGACUGCUUUGGAAACUGCCCGGCUAGAGUGCUGGAGAGGUAAGCGGAAUUCCUAGUGUAGCGGUGAAAUGCGUAGAUAUUAGGAGGAACACCAGUGGCGAAGGCGGCUUACUGGACAGUAACUGACGUUGAGGCUCGAAAGCGUGGGGAGCAAACAGGAUUAGAUACCCGCGUA